CUCUGACACUGACUGAAUACCAAUGAAGCGAAGGUCACCUAAGCACCAAGCGAGUGGGAGAGCAGUACCCAGCAAAAGAUGUCAGUUUUGGACUAGAAACAAUCACUGUGGGAUAAAAACCAAAAAGUGCUUGCUACAGUUCAAUAAUAGAGGGAGGAAACAGCUGGUCUGUGCAUUUGUGAGUGAGCAGCAUUUAAUAAGCAUUUAUCUCCGUGAGUGAGUGGAGAGGAGAGACAACUGCC
This is a long non-coding RNA of Myiozetetes cayanensis, 242 nucleotides long. RefSeq lists it as uncharacterized. NCBI's taxonomy places the organism in Eukaryota, Metazoa, Chordata, Aves, Passeriformes, Tyrannidae. The record is from RefSeq and is a predicted model, not a curated record. The transcript is spliced from 3 exons.